GCGCACCAGGCGAGAAACCUCCGCAAUACACGAAAGUGUGACGGGGCCAUCCCGAGUGCCGUCCGCUGAGGACGGCUUUUCCUCAGUGUACACAGCUGGGGGAAUAAGGAGAGGGCAAGCCUGGUGUCAGCCGCCGCGGUAAUACCAGCUCUCCGAGUGGUGGGGACGCUUAUUGGGCCUAAAGCAUCCGUAGCCGGCUGGGCAAGUCCUCCGUUAAAUCCAACGAUUCAAUCGUUGGGCUGCGGGGGAUACUGUCCAGCUUGGGGGCGGGAGAGGCCGACGGUAUUCCCCGGGGUAGGGGUGAAAUCCUAUAAUCCCGGGAGGACCACCAGUGGCGAAGGCUGUCGGCUAGAACGCGCCCGACGGUGAGGGAUGAAAGCUGGGGGAGCGAACCGGAUUAGAUA
This 404-nucleotide ribosomal RNA is filed under the name uncultured microorganism. RNAcentral describes it as "bacterial SSU rRNA". It matches the Rfam family "Archaeal small subunit ribosomal RNA", at positions 330 to 735 of the family's 1478-position model. The record is from RNAcentral.